UACGUAGGGUGCGAGCGUUGUCCGGAAUUAUUGGGCGUAAAGAGCUUGUAGGCGGUUUGUCGCGUCUGCUGUGAAAAUCCGAGGCUCAACCUCGGACUUGCAGUGGGUACGGGCAGACUAGAGUGUGGUAGGGGAGACUGGAAUUCCUGGUGUAGCGGUGGAAUGCGCAGAUAUCAGGAGGAACACCAAUGGCGAAGGCAGAUCUCUGGGCCGUAACUGACGCUGGAUGCACGAAAGCUAGGGGAGCAAACAGG
This 254-nucleotide ribosomal RNA is filed under the name uncultured bacterium. RNAcentral's name for it is "partial 16S ribosomal RNA". It matches the Rfam family "Bacterial small subunit ribosomal RNA", at positions 524 to 776 of the family's 1533-position model. The record is from RNAcentral.